GGAUAAGCCCUUACGGGGAAAGAUUUAUCGCCGAAAGAUCGGCCCGCGUCUGAUUAGCUAGUUGGUAGGGUAAUGGCCUACCAAGGCGACGAUCAGUAGCUGGUCUGAGAGGAUGAUCAGCCACAUUGGGACUGAGACACGGCCCAAACUCCUACGGGAGGCAGCAGUGGGGAAUAUUGGACAAUGGGGGCAACCCUGAUCCAGCCAUGCCGCGUGAGUGAUGAAGGCCCUAGGGUUGUAAAGCUCUUUUGUGCGGGAAGAUAAUGACGGUACCGCAAGAAUAAGCCCCGGCUAACUUCGUGCCAGCAGCCGCGGUAAUACGAAGGGGGCUAGCGUUGCUCGGAAUCACUGGGCGUAAAGGGUGCGUAGGCGGGUCUUUAAGUCAGGGGUGAAAUCCUGGAGCUCAACUCCAGAACUGCCUUUGAUACUGAAGAUCUUGAGUCCGGGAGAGGUGAGUGGAACUGCGAGUGUAGAGGUGAAAUUCGUAGAUAUUCGCAAGAACACCAGUGGCGAAGGCGGCUCACUGGCCCGGUACUGACGCUGAGGCACGA
RNAcentral lists this ribosomal RNA (551 nucleotides) under Bradyrhizobium sp. RNAcentral describes it as "bacterial SSU rRNA". It matches the Rfam family "Bacterial small subunit ribosomal RNA", at positions 171 to 756 of the family's 1533-position model. Lineage: Bacteria; Pseudomonadati; Pseudomonadota; Alphaproteobacteria; Hyphomicrobiales; Nitrobacteraceae. The record is from RNAcentral.